AAUAUUGGACAAUGGGGGUAACCCUGAUCCAGCCAUGCCGCGUGUGUGAAGAAGGUCNNNGGAUUNUAAAGCACUUUAAGUUGNGAANAAGGGCAGUAAGUUCAUACUUUGCUGUUUUGCCGUUACCGACAUAAUAAGCACCGGCUAAGUUCAUGCCAGCAGACGCGGUAAUACGAAGGGUGCAAGCGUUAAACGGAAUUACUGGGCGUAAAGCGCGCGUAGGUGGUUCGUUAAGUUGGAAGUGAAAGCCCCGGGCUUAACCUGGGAAUUGCUUUCAAAACUGACGAGCUAGAGUACGGUAGAGGGUAGUGGAAUUUCCUGUGUAGCGGUGAAAUGCGUAGAUAUAGGAAGGAACACCAGUGGCGAAGGCGACCACCUGGGCUAAUACUGACACUGAGGUGCGAAAGCGUGGGGAGCAAACAGG
RNAcentral lists this ribosomal RNA (424 nucleotides) under uncultured bacterium. RNAcentral's name for it is "partial 16S ribosomal RNA". It matches the Rfam family "Bacterial small subunit ribosomal RNA", at positions 360 to 776 of the family's 1533-position model. The record is from RNAcentral.